GGAGAUCAAGAACGGGCGGCUGGCCAUGUUCUCCAUGCUGGGGUUCUUCAUCCAGGCCUACGUCACCGGCGAGGGCCCCGUCGAGAACCUCUCCAAGCACCUCAGCGACCCCUUCGGCAACAACCUGCUCACCGUCAUCUCCGGCGCCGCCGAGAGGACGCCCAGCCUGUAAACAUCUCGCCGCCGGCGACGCUGGCUGGCCUCAAGUUAAUUUUAAUCUUACCCGGGAAGAAGAAGGGAGGAGUUUGAGAAGGGUGGAAGAAUGUGUUAAAUGUACGUGUAAAUUAUCGUCGAGUUGGGAGAUGAAUUUGAAAACCUGUUCAUUCUGAUCUUCUGAUAGGAAGGACCAAGUGUUUGGAUUUGUGGCUGAGAAAUAUUUGCUACCUG
RNAcentral lists this unclassified non-coding RNA (387 nucleotides) under Hevea brasiliensis (rubber tree). Lineage: Eukaryota; Viridiplantae; Streptophyta; Magnoliopsida; Malpighiales; Euphorbiaceae. The record is from RNAcentral.